UGAAGGACUGGCCAAGGAUGAUUCUCUGAUUGAAGGCAUCCUCUAGGUUAGGCAUGGGGAACAACUGGCCCUCCAGAUGUUGUUGAACUACAUAACCUCCAUCAGCCCUAGCAAGCAGGGCCAAUGGCCAGGGAUGAUGGGAGUUGUAGUACAGCAAAGGUUCCUCACCCCACACAAGCUCUAGCUGGAGGGCACUCUAAAGACAAAAAAGCAUAAGAAAGUAAGAGUCUUUAAAUUGCCCAUUAGCAGGCAGCUCCUCGAAAGCAGACUGUGCAAGCAGAUAGGUUUACCCAAGCAGUAUUCCCAACUAUGGGAAUCUAUGUGAGUUCAUCAUCCUGGGGAUUAUGAUUUCCUUCUCUAACAGGCUGAUGAUCAACGCUAAAGGGGGAGAUCGCUGAGAAUGCAUCAUAUCAGCUUUCAGCGUCACUGGGAGAGGCUUUGGGGAAUCUCAGCGCACAACAAUAUACAAUAUGUAACAUAUUAUUACCUAUUAAAUGCCUGAUGUCAGACUA
Molecule: long non-coding RNA, 512 nt
Organism: Lacerta agilis (Sand lizard)
Lineage: Eukaryota; Metazoa; Chordata; Lepidosauria; Squamata; Lacertidae
Exons: 2
Source: RefSeq, a predicted model, not a curated record